GACGAACGCUGGCGGCGUGCUUAACACAUGCAAGUCGAACAGAAAGGCCCUGCUUUUGUGGGGUGCUCGAGUGGCGAACGGGUGAGUAACACGUGAGUAACCUGCCCUUGACUUUGGGAUAACUUCAGGAAACUGGGGCUAAUACCGGAUAGGAGCUCCUGCUGCAUGGUGGGGGUUGGAAAGUUUCGGCGGUUGGGGAUGGACUCGCGGCUUAUCAGCUUGUUGGUGGGGUAGUGGCUUACCAAGGCUUUGACGGGUAGCCGGCCUGAGAGGGUGACCGGCCACAUUGGGACUGAGAUACGGCCCAGACUCCUACGGGAGGCAGCAGUGGGGAAUAUUGCACAAUGGGCGGAAGCCUGAUGCAGCAACGCCGCGUGCGGGAUGACGGCCUUCGGGUUGUAAACCGCUUUCGCCUGUGACGAAGCGUGAGUGACGGUAAUGGGUAAAGAGGCACCGGCUAACUACGUG
This 468-nucleotide ribosomal RNA is filed under the name uncultured bacterium. RNAcentral describes it as "partial 16S ribosomal RNA". It matches the Rfam family "Bacterial small subunit ribosomal RNA", at positions 28 to 507 of the family's 1533-position model. The record is from RNAcentral.